CAGCCGCCGCGGUAAUACGUAGGGUGCGAGCGUUGUCCGGAAUUAUUGGGCGUAAAGAGCUUGUAGGCGGUCUGUCGCGUCUGCUGUGAAAACCCGAGGCUCAACCUCGGGCCUGCAGUGGGUACGGGCAGACUAGAGUGCGGUAGGGGAGAACGGAACUCCUGGUGUAGCGGUGGAAUGCGCAGAUAUCAGGAAGAACACCGAUGGCGAAGGCAGUUCUCUGGGCCGUAACUGACGCUGAGAAGCGAAAGCGUGGGGAGCGAACAGGAUUAGAGACCCCGGUAGUCCCUGUCCUCUUAUA
RNAcentral lists this ribosomal RNA (301 nucleotides) under uncultured bacterium. Its description in RNAcentral is "partial 16S ribosomal RNA". It matches the Rfam family "Bacterial small subunit ribosomal RNA", at positions 509 to 809 of the family's 1533-position model. The record is from RNAcentral.